UUGCAUAUCAAUAAGCGGAGGAAAAGAAACCAACAGGGAUUGCCCUAGUAACGGCGAGUGAAGCGGCAACAGCUCAAAUUUGAAAUCUGGCUCUCGGGCCCGAGUUGUAAUUUGUAGAGGAUGACUUUGAUGCGGUGCCUUCCGAGUUCCCUGGAACGGGACGCCAUAGAGGGUGAGAGCCCCGUCUGGUUGGAUGCCAAAUCUCUGUAAGUCUCCUUCGACGAGUCGAGUAGUUUGGGAAUGCUGCUCUAAAUGGGAGGUAUAUGUCUUCUAAAGCUAAAUACCGGCCAGAGACCGAUAGCGCACAAGUAGAGUGAUCGAAAGAUGAAAAGCACUUUGAAAAGAGAGUUAAAAAGUACGUGAAAUUGUUGAAAGGGAAGCGUUUAUGACCAGACUUGGGCUUGGUUAAUCAUCUGGGGUUCUCCCCAGUGCACUUUUCCAGUUCAGGCCAGCAUCAGUUUUCGCCGGGGGAUAAAGACUUCGGGAAUGUGGCUCCUCUCGGGGAGUGUUAUAGCCCGUUGUGUAAUACCCUGGCGGGGACUGAGGUUCGCGCUUCUGCAAGGAUGCUGGCGUAAUGGUCAUCAACGACCCGUCUUGAAACCACGGACC
Molecule: ribosomal RNA, 609 nt
Filed under: Fusarium sp.
Lineage: Eukaryota; Fungi; Ascomycota; Sordariomycetes; Hypocreales; Nectriaceae
Description: partial large subunit ribosomal RNA
Rfam family: Eukaryotic large subunit ribosomal RNA
Source: RNAcentral